RNAcentral lists this small RNA (52 nucleotides) under Arabidopsis thaliana (thale cress). RNAcentral describes it as "ATSL000600". The record is from RNAcentral. Lineage: Eukaryota; Viridiplantae; Streptophyta; Magnoliopsida; Brassicales; Brassicaceae.
UGGUUCCAUAGGUCGACUCGAGACGCACAAGGACAUGGGACGCAUACAGCCU